GAUGAACGCUGGCGGCGUGCCUAAUACAUGCAAGUCGAGCGAACAGACGAGGAGCUUGCUCCUCUGACGUUAGCGGCGGACGGGUGAGUAACACGUGGAUAACCUACCUAUAAGACUGGGAUAACUUCGGGAAACCGGAGCUAAUACCGGAUAAUAUAUUGAACCGCAUGGUUCAAUAGUGAAAGACGGUUUUGCUGUCACUUAUAGAUGGAUCCGCGCCGCAUUAGCUAGUUGGUAAGGUAACGGCUUACCAAGGCGACGAUGCGUAGCCGACCUGAGAGGGUGAUCGGCCACACUGGAACUGAGACACGGUCCAGACUCCUACGGGAGGCAGCAGUAGGGAAUCUUCCGCAAUGGGCGAAAGCCUGACGGAGCAACGCCGCGUGAGUGAUGAAGGUCUUCGGAUCGUAAAACUCUGUUAUAGGGAAGAACAAAUGUGUAAGUAACUAUGCACGUCUUGACGGUACCUAAUCAGAAAGCCACGGCUAACUACGU
RNAcentral lists this ribosomal RNA (495 nucleotides) under uncultured bacterium. RNAcentral's name for it is "partial 16S ribosomal RNA". It matches the Rfam family "Bacterial small subunit ribosomal RNA", at positions 28 to 506 of the family's 1533-position model. The record is from RNAcentral.